Molecule: ribosomal RNA, 505 nt
Filed under: uncultured bacterium
Lineage: Bacteria
Description: partial 16S ribosomal RNA
Rfam family: Bacterial small subunit ribosomal RNA
Source: RNAcentral
GACGAACGCUGGCGGCGUGCCUAAUACAUGCAAGUAGAACGCACAGUUUAUACCGUAGCUUGCUACACCAUAGACUGUGAGUUGCGAACGGGUGAGUAACGCGUAGGUAACCUGCCUGGUAGCGGGGGAUAACUAUUGGAAACGAUAGCUAAUACCGCAUAAUAUUGAUUAUUGCAUGAUAAUUGAUUGAAAGAUGCUAUUGCAUCACUACCAGAUGGACCUGCGUUGUAUUAGCUAGUAGGGGAGGUAACGGCUCACCUAGGCGACGAUACAUAGCCGACCUGAGAGGGUGGUCGGCCACACUGGGACUGAGACACGGCCCAGACUCCUACGGGAGGCAGCAGUAGGGGAUCUUCGGCAAUGGACGAAAGUCUGACCGAGCGACGCCGCGUGAGUGCAGAAGGUUUUCGGAUCGUGAAGCUCUGUUGUAAGAGAAGAACGGGUGUGAGAGUGGAAAGUUCACACUGUGACGGUAUCUUACCAGAAAGGGACGGCUAACUACGUG